This 465-nucleotide ribosomal RNA is filed under the name Vreelandella stevensii. RNAcentral's name for it is "partial 16S ribosomal RNA". It matches the Rfam family "Bacterial small subunit ribosomal RNA", at positions 338 to 795 of the family's 1533-position model. The record is from RNAcentral. Lineage: Bacteria; Pseudomonadati; Pseudomonadota; Gammaproteobacteria; Oceanospirillales; Halomonadaceae.
CCUACGGGAGGCAGCAGUGGGGAAUAUUGGACAAUGGGCGAAAGCCUGAUCCAGCCAUGCCGCGUGUGUGAAGAAGGCCUUCGGGUUGUAAAGCACUUUCAGUGGGGAAGAAAGCCUUGGGGCUAAUACCCUCGAGGAAGGACAUCACCCACAGAAGAAGCACCGGCUAACUCCGUGCCAGCAGCCGCGGUAAUACGGAGGGUGCGAGCGUUAAUCGGUAGUACUGGGCGUAAAGCGCGCGUAGGCGGUCUGAUAAGCCGGUUGUGAAAGCCCCGGGCUCAACCUGGGAACGGCAUCCGGAACUGGCAGGCUAGAGUGCAGGAGAGGAAGGUAGAAUUCCCGGUGUAGCGGUGAAAUGCGUAGAGAUCGGGAGGAAUACCAGUGGCGAAGGCGGCCUUCUGGACUGACACUGACGCUGAGGUGCGAAAGCGUGGGUAGCAAACAGGAUUAGAUACCCGGGUAGUC